RNAcentral lists this ribosomal RNA (253 nucleotides) under uncultured bacterium. Its description in RNAcentral is "partial 16S ribosomal RNA". It matches the Rfam family "Bacterial small subunit ribosomal RNA", at positions 524 to 776 of the family's 1533-position model. The record is from RNAcentral.
UACGUAGGGACCAAGCGUUGUCCGGAAUCAUUGGGCGUAAAGAGCGCGCAGGCGGCUUGGUAAGUCGGAUGUGAAAUCCCGAGGCUCAACCUCGGGUCUGCAUCCGAUACUGCCCGGCUAGAGGUAGGUAGGGGAGAUCGGAAUUCCUGGUGUAGCGGUGAAAUGCGCAGAUAUCAGGAAGAACACCCGUGGCGAAGGCGGCUCUCUGGAACGCAACUGACGCUGAGACGCGAAAGCGUGGGGAGCAAACAGG